Molecule: ribosomal RNA, 301 nt
Filed under: uncultured bacterium
Lineage: Bacteria
Description: partial 16S ribosomal RNA
Rfam family: Bacterial small subunit ribosomal RNA
Source: RNAcentral
CAGUAGCCGCGGUAAUACAGAGGGUGCGAGCGUUAAUCGGAUUUACUGGGCGUAAGCGUGCGUAGGCGGCUUCUUAAGUCGGAUGUGAAAUCCCUGAGCUUAACUUAGGAAUUGCAUUCGAUACUGGGAAGCUAGAGUAUGGGAGAGGAUGGUAGAAUUCCAGGUGUAGCGGUGAAAUGCGUAGAGAUCUGGAGGAAUACCGAUGGCGAAGGCAGCCAUCUGGCCUAAUACUGACGCUGAGGUACGAAAGCAUGGGGAGCAAACAGGAUUAGAUACCCGUGUAGUCCCUGUCUCUUAUACA